CCCACAUUCUCACCAAAAAGGAUUCGAACCAACGAAACACUGGGCCGCCUGCAGCAGAGCACACGAACUUAACCGCUCAGCCACAAGGCCAGCCCCAUGAGUCACAGUUUUUUGUGCUGGUGCCCACCUCCUCUCCAACUCCUGAAAUUCUCCAAGCCUGGAGCAGUGUGGAACCCAGGGCCCUCCACCAGGGAUGCCUCGCAGCCGGGCCAGUGCGCUCAGCAGCCUCCCUCCCUCAGGCCCUCACAUCCCCCUGGAAUCCGGGCCCCUGCGUGUCUUGUUUUCCACUGUGUCCACAGAGCCAGGCCCUGGGUGAUGCAUGAAUGUCAACUGAGGAAGAGACUGAGGCUCGAAGCGCGUCCGCGACCUGCAUGAGGCCACGUGACCGCCCCUUAGGGGUGAACACAGGAAGGCACCUCUGGACCAGCGUCCCCACCCUUCAUGGAGGAGGUGUCCCGGGUGGGCGAGGAGCAGCGCCCCCGCGCUCACUUCCCCCGCAGUAAGGCCACCUUGUAUCUGCUUUCCAGACGAGUUUUAGACACCACAGCUUCCUCUGGAUCUAGAACAUUCCCAUGAAAAGCCAGCCAUCCAGCCAGUGCUACAUUAUGCCUCUUAGGAAGCCGGUCCUUCCUUCCUACUGAAUACUCGGGCCCUGGAAACAUGGUUGCAGUUAAAGCUGUUACAAGACUACCCGGACUAACGAAUGCACAGGCCUGAACCCCGGCCGAAGGAGGGAGUUCAUCUGUGAUCCUUUUCAUCCUUGGUUUUUCUUGUGCUCUGCACCCCCACGGCCUGAGAGCACUCAGUGUCCUCUUACUGACCCCGGGUGCUGAGAUCCCUCCAGCGUCACCUGGACACACAGCAUCCCAGGUGCGCGAUCUCUCCACCCCACUUUCCCUCAUUAAACUCGUGCACAGCGGCCCCGUCUCAUCAGGCCCUUGCUGGAUAAAAAUGGAUCGGAGUUGGGAGGAAAAGAUAUCAAGUUUCCAAAUAUGUCAAGGCUGGGAGCUAUCACGGGAUUUAAAAAUACAAAUAAUGAUGAACACCUGCCCCAAAGCUGCCUGCGGCCUCACCCCUCUGGACAUUGUCAUACCAUCCCAUACGCUUUUGGGGCUAAUGAAGGCCUUUCUCACAAUGGAGUUACACACCAUAUACACUCGGUGGCUUCAGAAUGGUAAGAACCAAGUCACGAUGCUACAUUAUUGACACUGGACUAAGAGGGCCUGAAAAAGUGUGGCUUUGCCAACCAGCUCAGGAUUUCCCCCCCGGCCUUACUGAGAUACUAUAACACUGGGCAAGUUUAAGGUAUACAGCGUGAUGGCUCAGUCCACAUGGUAUAUAUCGUGAAAUGAUUACCACAAUAGGGUUGGUUAACACCUCCAUCACCUCACAUAUUUACUUUUGUGUGUGUGGAGUUAACAUUUAAGAUCUACUCUUUUAGCAACUUUCAAGUAUACAAUGCAGUAUUGUAAAUUACUGUCACCGUGCUGUGCAUUAGAUCCCCAGAACUUAAUCAUCUCACAGCUGGAAGCUUUUACCCUUAACCAGCAUCUCCCCGUUUCCCCCACCCCCAGCCUGGGAACCGCCAUUCUGCUGUUUCCCAGCUUGGCUUUUUAGAUUCCACAUGGAAGAGGACCACACCGUGGUUGUCCUUCUCUGACUUACCUCCCUUAGGCCAGCUGCGUUUUGAGUUGCUUUGCUGCCCCUGGCCAGGAGGAGCGUCCUGUCUCUGCCCGCGUGGAGCCCUCCUGGGGGAGCUUCUCAAGCUGUUCUUCUUUCACAGUCAACCGUCCUUGGAGCCCAUGGCGGAGGAGGGAGGGGCCUUUUGCUGACCGCUGUGGAAACGCACCCCUCAGCUCUCUCCCUGCAGGAAGCUCAGCUGACAGAGCCCCCGCUGCUCCCCUCUCUGCAUCCACCACUCUGCUGGUGCUGGGGUCACUUUUCCCACGAGCUGCCCCGGCCAAUGGCAGCAUGGAGCGCUCACUCAGACCCUUUCCCGAGAGACGCGCAGCUCCUGUCCUUCAAGACCACCCAUUGGCCUG
This is a long non-coding RNA of Equus caballus (horse), 2042 nucleotides long. NCBI's taxonomy places the organism in Eukaryota, Metazoa, Chordata, Mammalia, Perissodactyla, Equidae. The record is from Ensembl.